RNAcentral lists this ribosomal RNA (476 nucleotides) under uncultured anaerobic ammonium-oxidizing bacterium. RNAcentral describes it as "bacterial SSU rRNA". It matches the Rfam family "Bacterial small subunit ribosomal RNA", at positions 365 to 832 of the family's 1533-position model. The record is from RNAcentral.
UUCGCAAUGCCCGAAAGGGUGACAAUGCGACGCCGCGUGUGCGAUGAAGGUUUUCGGAUCGUAAAGCACUGUCGGCCGGGAUGAAUCUCGGGAGGCAUAACAAGUCUUCCGGGUGACAGUACCGGCAGAGGAAGCCACGGCUAACUCCGUGCCAGCAGCCGCGGUAAUACGGAGGUGGCAAGCGUUACUCGGAUUGAUUGGGUGUAAAGGGCAUGUAGGUGGUGAAUUAAGUCGAACGUGAAAUCCCUCGGCCUAACCGAGGAACUGCGCCCGAUACUGCGAUGCUUGAGGACCAGAGGGGUGCAUGGAAUUUCCGGUGGAGCGGUGAAAUGCGUUGAUAUCGGAAGGAACUCCGGCGGCGAAAGCGAUGCACUGGCUAGUUUCUGACGCUGAGGUGCGAAAGCCAGGGGAGCAAACGGGAUUAGAUACCCCGGUAGUCCUGGCCGUAAACGAUGGGCACUAAGUAGAGGGGUUUU